CCUACGGGAGGCAGCAGUAGGGAAUCUUGCGCAAUGGGCGGAAGCCUGACGCAGCGACGCCGCGUGGGGGAUGAAGGCCUUCGGGUCGUAAACCCCUGUCUUGAGGGACGAUGAUGACGGUACCUCAAGAGGAAGCCCCGGCUAACUACGUGCCAGCAGCCGCGGUAAU
This 169-nucleotide ribosomal RNA is filed under the name uncultured bacterium. RNAcentral describes it as "partial 16S ribosomal RNA". It matches the Rfam family "Bacterial small subunit ribosomal RNA", at positions 338 to 524 of the family's 1533-position model. The record is from RNAcentral.